RNAcentral lists this ribosomal RNA (759 nucleotides) under uncultured bacterium. RNAcentral's name for it is "bacterial SSU rRNA". It matches the Rfam family "Bacterial small subunit ribosomal RNA", at positions 66 to 805 of the family's 1533-position model. The record is from RNAcentral.
GCGAAAUUUCCCUUACGGGGAGAGAGUAGAGUGGCGCACGGGUGAGUAACACGUGGGUAAUUUACCUUCGGGUGGGGAAUAACAGUCGGAAACGACUGCUAAUACCGCAUGAUGCAGCGGCACCACAUGGUGACAGUUGUUAAAGCGGGGGAUCGCAAGACCUCGCGCCUGAAGAGAAGCCCGCGGCAGAUUAGCUAGUUGGUAAGGUAAUGGCUUACCAAGGCAACGAUCUGUAGCCGGCCUGAGAGGGCGGUCGGCCACACUGACACUGAAUAACGGGUCAGACUCCUACGGGAGGCAGCAGUCGGGAAUUUUGGGCAAUGGGCGCAAGCCUGACCCAGCAACGCCGCGUGAAGGAUGAAGUAUUUCGGUAUGUAAACUUCACAAGAAUGGGAAGAAUAAGUAGGGGACAAUACCCCCUAUGAUGACGGUACCAUUUGUAAGCUCCGGCUAACUCCGUGCCAGCAGCCGCGGUAAUACGGGGGGAGCAAGCGUUGUUCGGAUUUACUGGGCGUAAAGGGCGCGUAGGCGGCGCAACAAGUCACUUGUGAAAUCUCCGGGCUUAACCCGGAGCGGUCAAGUGAUACUGUCGUGCUAGAGUGCAGAAGGGGCAACUGGAAUUCUCGGUGUAGCGGUGAAAUGCGUAGAUAUCGAGAGGAACACCUGCGGCGAAAGCNGGUUGCUGGGCUGACACUGACGCUGAGGCGCGAAAGCUAGGGGAGCGAACGGGAUUAGAUACCCCGGUAGUCCUAGCCUAAA